RNA transcript from Aphis gossypii (cotton aphid), 4791 nucleotides. It is a transcript of the gene named interaptin-like, with no coding region annotated. The transcript is spliced from 12 exons. NCBI's taxonomy places the organism in Eukaryota, Metazoa, Arthropoda, Insecta, Hemiptera, Aphididae. The record is from RefSeq and is a predicted model, not a curated record.
CUUAUUCGUACUUAUGUCGUGGUUAUGACGUGCCUUUAAAACAUUGAUUAACGUUAUAAUUAAUUAAUAGAUAAUAGAUACCUAAAGCUACACAUAAUCGUCGUAAUUCUGAAAACAAUUAAACAUAGUGUUUUUCAUUUUUAGUUGUGUAAUUUUCUCACAAAUAGUAACCAUUAAAAUCGUCAUUAUUUUAAAGUUUAACUAGUUAAUUGCUUAAUUUUGUUUUAAUGCAGUAUUUUUCAUUAUGAUUUACUUAAAAAAUUAUACGUAUUCCCUAUUUUUCUACAGUACUUUAAGCUGCCGUAGAGUAAAUUGUAUUUUGGAAUAAAUUACAAAACAGAAAACUAACACAUCAAGAAUCCUUGCCAAUAUGGAACAGAAAAGCACAAAUAAUAGUGAUGAUAAUGAUGGGGAGUUAACAACAAAUCAGAUAAAACUUAAGGCUCAAGAACUUGCUAAACGAUUAGAAAAAUAUCAUGGUAGAUACACAUCUUCUAGUCGGUGUAAUACACCUUUGCCUAUUACAUCAGCGGAAAGUAUGGAGUCAAUACAGAGUAACAGUGUUAUCUCUGAUAAUAGCGAGAAAAUUUUGUUAUUUCGACAAGUUUUAGAAAAUGACAGAAAGUUAGUUGAAGAUAGUAAAAUAGAUGAGCAAAAAUUUAAUAAUGAUGAUCAAGCAAAUGAGGAAAAUUUAGAUGCGCAAAAACAUGAAAAAGAGAAACUCAAUGCGACAUAUUAUGAAGAUAUUAUUUCAGCACAAUUUAAUGAAAGAAAUGUACAAUCAUUAAAAAGUCAAAUUGUUGAAUUAAAUGAAAAACUUGAAAAUUAUCGUAAUAAUAUUACUGAAAAGGAUAUGUCAUUGCAAUUAAAAAUUAAUAAAAUUGAAGCAUUAAACAAAGCUUUAGUGGAAAACAAAAAAUUACAUUUAGAAACAGUAGAAGAGUUAAAAAGAAGAAACAUUGAAAUCAUCAAUGAAGAACGUUUAAGAUGUUCUGAAAAGAUUAAUAAUAUUGUAGAAGAAGCAGAAGAAUUAAAAAAUAACUUAGAGGAUGUUCACCGACUCUGUGAUAAAUUAAAAAAAAAAAAUAUUAAAAUUGAAAAAGAAAAUACUGAACUAAGAAAAAAUGAAAUAAGUCUACAAUCAGAAAUUGAAAAUUUAAGUUUAAGCUAUGAGAAUGAAAAGAAGUUGAUUCUAGAACACCAUCAAGAAACUUCAAAACAUCUUAUUGGUGAUAUGGAAAAAGAAUUGCUAAGCUUACAACAAGAAAAUGAUUUUUUAUCAAGCCAUGUAGCUUUAUUGGAGAGUAAAUCAACGCAGCUUCAAGAAAAUGAUAAUUUAUUAAUGGAAAUUGACAAAAAAGAAUCUGAGAUUCAACGUUUAAAUCUUGAAAAUGAAAAAUUAAAUCAACAACUCCAAAAUCAAAUAACGGAUGCUCAACAGACAGAAAGUCGUUGGAUUCAGUUGAAAGAUGCAUAUCUCAAUGAUAAAGAACGUAUGACUCUCUUGGAAAAAGUAAUCGAUGAAUUAAAAAUGAAUAACAAUGAGCUAAAUGAUGCCAAUAUUAAAUUAACUGAACAAAUCGAAAAUUCUAUGGAAAAUUUAAAAUUAUUAAAAGCUGAUAAUGACAAGCAUCAAGAACGUAUUUCUGAUUUGAUGGCAGUUAUAGAAAACAUGCGUGAAACAUUUGAAAAAGCUAUGAAAGAAGCUUCAAAUGAGUAUGAACAAAAUAAAAAAAAUUUUAUUCGACAACAUGAAGAUGAUCAAGCAAUAAUAGCAACUUGUAGCAAUAAACUUAAAGAUAGUAUUACGUCAGUAAAUGAAUUAACUAAUCAAUUAAAUUUUGUUUUAAAAGAAAAUAACUCGUUUAAAUGCGAACGUUUAGAGUUAAAUGAUUGUCUUAGUAAAAGAGAUACAGAAAUAUUAAAGUUGAAUAAUACUAUUACAGAAUUUCAUACACUGUCUACACAAUUAACUAAUGAGUUAGAAAUGGUUAAGAAUGAGAAUAAUAUGCUUUCAGAUAAAUUGAAUGGAACUAAUAUUACGAUGGAAGAUAAUAAAUUAUUAUCAGAUCGAUACCAAAAACAAAAACAACUGCUUAAAGUAAAAAUCAAAGCUUUAAAAGAGUCUGAAAGCAAUUGUUCACUUUUACAACAGCAAGUUGCAUCAUUAAAUAAAGAAAUAAAUGUUUUGAAUCAGAGAUUAGCAUAUCUUAUUCAAAGUAAUAAACAAAUAAGCACUGUCGUACGAAACUGUGAUGUAGAACUUCAAAAGUGUUACGAGUUAAUAAAUAAAAUUGUAAUUAAAUCAAACGUACAAAAUCAAAACAUACAUAUACUUCGUUGUGUUUUGAUGGGUCUGGCAUCAUUAUUUUCUUUUGACGAUUUUGAUGUUGAGGUUGACAUUGAUGUAAUUGAAGUUAUUGAUUCAAUUUGCAACAAUACCAUUCUUGAUGAUACUGAACUACAAAUUUAUCUUAAAAAAAUUGUCUUUGGUUCUAUUCAGAUUUUAGAAUAUAUUAUUAAUUUAAAUAUUUCUCAAAAACGUUCUAAUGCACAAUUAAUUGACCGUUCUGAAGUUGAAAAAUUUGUAUCUGAAGCUGUAGAAAAAGUUAAAUUAUCCACACAAAAUGAAUAUCAUAAACAAAAUAAUGAACUACUCAAAAUAAUAGAAAACUUGCAAAAUGAUAAUUAUACAUUAAAAUUAAAUAUGUCUUCUUCUACUUAUGAAAAUAAAGAAGUAUUAACAGAUUUAAAUGGUCUUGCAGUAAACAGUCUUCUAUCUUCAGAAAAUGUAAAUAUAAAAUCUAUUAAAAAUGAAAACGAUAUGUUUAAACAAUUUUUAAAAAAUAUUCGAAAAAAUUUGGGUUUGGUUAUUAUCAACGAAAAAGAUGAUGAAGAGUUACUAAAUUCUGUAAGUACACUUGAAUUCCAUGUCCAUGAAAUAAAAAAUGAAAAUAAACUGUUAAACAAUCAAAUUAGUGAACUCCAGAGAUUGAUUUCAUCGAAAACAGUGGAACAACCUAUUGAACAGGAAACUGAUAAAUAUUCAAAUUUAAAUUCACAAAACGAAUUUAUUCAAGGUAUAGAAAACGAUAAAGAUAAAAAAAAGUGUCUGAGGAUGUAUGUUUGAAGAGACUAGACCCAGAAAUAAUGACUUCUACAGAAAAUGGAGAUUCGAAGAUUUUGCUAGUACGUUACAAAAACUUAAAAUCUCGAUUCAAAGAAUGUCGUGCUAAAAUCAUUGACUUAGAAAAACAAAUUGUUAACUUGACAAAUGAUUUAGAAUCUGCAAAUUCUAAGUACAAACAAUUAAAUGAUCAAUAUUCCAAUGAAAAUGAAACUCAUGAAGCAGAUAUAAUCCAUUGUCAAUCAGAAAUUGAAAAUCUCAUGGGUGAAAAACUCGAAGCUUAUCGUCAAUUGUCUGCACUUAAGGAAAAACAUGAAAUAUUGCAAAAUGAUUAUGAUCAGCUUAAAAGUAAUCUGGAUGAUCAGAAAUCUUUGAAUGAUAUGGAUACAGAUUCUAUACACAUUAAUGAACAAAAUACAGUUCUAAAAGGGAAAUUAAAAGAAACUCAACAUUUAAUUGAUUCAGCUUAUUCAAGAGUGUUAAGCGAAUGGCCAGCAAUUGAAAAUGAUAGUGACUGGGUAGUUGUUCAAUCUAAAAAAUUGGAUAAAAUAGUUGAAGCUAAAUGUUGUGACACUUUUAAUGGUCCUAAUUUAGAAGAAUCAGAAAUUAAACGAUUACAAGCUUGUGUUCAAACUAUUCAUGAAUUAGUUACUUCUAUUUUAACUAAUAUAUGUAAUAUUGAAGUUUCUUCAAGUGAUGUACUAAUUGAUUUAAUGUCUGACUUAAAAUCUUGUACACAAACAUUAUUAGAAUUCAUAUCUGUUAAAAAUAAUAAAUCUGCCAAUGAACUUCAUAAAGAAUUAGCUCAAAAUAAUGUUGUUAAAGACAGCAAUUCUUGCAUUCCUGAAGAACCAAUAAAUAGAUCUCUAAAUUCUAGUGAAGAAACAACACAAUCCUCUAUUUUAAAAAAUGGAGAAAACGAACAGCUACAGCGGUCCAUUGCUGAGCGUGAUAGAUUAAUUGAAUUUCUUUCUGUUAAAAUAUCAAAAUUAGAUAAUUUAAAUCGAAAUGUUGAUGAUAUAAAAUUAGUUCAAGAAAAACUGGACAGAGCAUUAACAGCUGUACAUGAGAGAGAUGUUAGAUGUGACGAAUUAACUAUAGAAUUGACCCGGUUAUUAGAAGAACGUGAUAUGCUGCAAUUGAAACUAUCAAAUUCUAUCAGACAAAUUCAAAUUUUGUCUGACAAUAAGUCGCAAUUGGGUACAUCAAAUUUGUUUGAUGAAAAAAUUGAUUUAAAAAUCAUGGAUGACAAACUAGAAGAAUUGCAUAGUUUAGAGUAUAGAAGAGAUGCUGAAUUGUUUACUAAUCAAGAACAGAGACAUAUGUCACAAAUGCAACUCCAUCAAAGUGGUCAAGAUAAUUCUAUAGCAUCAGGAGCAAAUCCACUUAAAAGUACAGAAGAAGCAAAUACUGCACUAUCCUGGUUUAAAGAUAUAUUAUGGUGAAGGUAUUGAACUUGUUAACUUUAUCAUCUUAUUUUAAUAUAUAUUUAUUAAGAUUAACUAGGUAUUGUUAUUUUGUUUUUAAUUGGAAAUAAACAUUAGUUAUUCGUAUUAUAAAAUUAAAUAUUCAUCUCUUAUCUGUUAAAAUAUUUGUUUUAUAUGUAUUAAAAUGAAAUUUACCUGCAUAAAUAUAUUAUAUACUUUUUAAUUUCUAAAAAGUUA